Molecule: long non-coding RNA, 1582 nt
Organism: Sorex araneus (European shrew)
Lineage: Eukaryota; Metazoa; Chordata; Mammalia; Eulipotyphla; Soricidae
Exons: 3
Source: RefSeq, a predicted model, not a curated record
AUCAGCUUCAUCCUGAAGAAAUUUCUGGCCAGACCAUGUUUCUGUUUAAAACGCUAGAACUGGACUCAAUGUAUGCCUUCUUGGUAAAUGUUUAGGAUCCAACUUGCAUGUUCCAUUUGGAAAAUAUCUUGGGCCCAAAAUGAACAAAUUAAGAUGAUGCUAAGAAGAUAAUCCUCAUUCAAUUUGUAAGUAUGCUCUUCAGAGUUGACACCUAGCAAAUCAAAGCAGGCAAGAAAACUGAGGCUGAGAGGGAUCAAGAAGUGAGCUCAAAGUCAGACAAGUAGUGAGUCCUGCCUCCAGCUGACAUCACUGGGCUUAAUCUGGGACAGGAGGUAGAGCCGCUCCCUUCUGACUAGCUCCCAGCAGCCCCCACACCUGAUCUGCACCUAUAAAUGGCCCACACCACAGCUUCUAAAGCCCAUGUCUGCUCAACAGAUCUACUCCAUAAAUGACACACCUCUCAUAGUUAUUCUUUCUGUCAUUUGGUGAAGAUGAACAGAGAAGAAAGGGAGCAACCUUAGCAUCUUCCAGGGGGUUUAGCUACAAAAACUCACCCCCAGCACAGCAAGAACACUAGAAAACCAGUGGGGGAAAACUCGUAAACACCUACCAAGCUCAAUAAGUGACAACAGUAUCGCUAAAGACAUAAACAACACCAGUACAUUUUCAGACAAUGUCUUUAGUGACACUACGAUAGGGAUGUUCAAGGAGUUUAAAGAUAUAAUAGCACAGGCAGUCAGCAAAGAAGAAGAAGGUAAAGAGUCAAAUAAAAAAAAAAGACUACUAAGAUCAGAAAUAACAGAAAUAAAGAGCAUGGUAGGUGAUAUAAAAAAACUCAAUAGAAGUUCUGAAUAGCAGAAUAACAGCAGCUGAGCAAAAGAUCAAGGAGCUCCAAGAUGAGAAAGAGGAAACAGCAGAAGGUAGAAAAUAGUCUACAAAGAAAUGAAUAGCAUACAAGAGGACUAUGGGAUGAGUUCAAGAGGAACAAUAUAAGAGUCAUUAGAGUGUCUGAACAGCAAGAAGACACAUGUGAUGAGGAAACAAAGUUAAAGACACCAUCUAUAAGAAUUUCCCAGAGUUGAGGUUUACGGGCACUGAGAUCCAAGAAGUCCACUCUGGGAAAGCAUCUCUCCAGCCGCCUAUUCCUAUUCUGGUGAAUUAUUUUUCAGUAAAUUCAUGUAAAGUCAACUGGUCUACUGUAAUUUUUUUUUUUUGCACUUCAUUCCAGGAAUUGUUUCCUGACCCAACAGGUGGAACGGAGAGAGUUUGUGGUUUGUGUAUAUUUAAUUUAUUGUUGUUUUUUGGGCUAUAGCUAGCAGUGCUUAGAAGCUACUCCUUUUUUGAAUUUAGUCACCAUGAAAUCACAAAGGUACGGGCUGGAGCGAUAGUACAGCAUGUAGGGCGUUUGCUGGCUAGGCCUCUAUCCUGGGCAUCCCAUAUGGUUCCCCAAGCACCGCCAAGAGUAAUUCUAAGGGCAGAGCCAGGAGUGACCCCUGAGUAUCGCUGGGUGUGACCCAAGAAAAAGGAAAGAAUAAAGAAAUCACAAAGUUAUUCAUGAUUUGGUUUCAGGCAUACAAUGUUU